AGAUGUGAAAUCCCCGCGCUUAACGUGGGAACUGCAUUUGAGACUGGCAAGCUAGAGUCUUGUAGAGGGGGGUAGAAUUCCAGGUGUAGCGGUGAAAUGCGUAGAGAGCUGGAGGAAUACCGGUGGCGAAGGCGGCCCCCUGGACAAAGACUGACGCUCAGGUGCGAAAGCGUGGGGAGCAAACAGGAUUAGAUACCCUGGUAGUCCACGCUGUAAACGAUGUCGACUUGGAGGUUGUGCUCUUGAGGCGUGGCUUCCGGAGCUAACGCGUUAAGUCGACCGCCUGGGGAGUACGGCCGCAGGGUUAAAACUCAAAUGAAUUGACGGGGGCCCGCACAAGCGGGGGAGCAUGUGGUUUAAUUCGAUGCAACGCGAAGAACCUUACCUACUCUUGACAUCCACGGAAUUCGCCAGAGAUGGCUUAUUGCCUUCGGGGACCGUGAGACAGGUGCUGCGUGGGCUGUCUUCACCUCCCUGUUGUGAAAUGUUGGGUUAAGUCCCGCAACGAGCGCAACCCUUAUCCUUUGUUGCCAGCACGUAAUGGUGGGAACUCAAAGGAGACUGCCGGUGAUAAACCGGAGGAAGGUGGGGAUGACGUCAGUCAUCAUGGCCCUUACGAGUAGGGCUACACACGUGCUACAAUGGCAUAUACAAAGAGAAGCAAACUCGCGAGAGCAAGCGGACCUCAUAAAGUAUGUCGUAGUCCGGAUUGGAGUCUGCAACUCGACUCCAUGAAGUCGGAAUCGCUAGUAAUCGUAGAUCAGAAUGCUACGGUGAAUACGUUCCCGGGCCUUGUACACACCGCCCGUCACACC
This 815-nucleotide ribosomal RNA is filed under the name uncultured bacterium. Its description in RNAcentral is "bacterial SSU rRNA". It matches the Rfam family "Bacterial small subunit ribosomal RNA", at positions 590 to 1403 of the family's 1533-position model. The record is from RNAcentral.